AAAGAAAAAACAGGGCAUCUUUAGGGGGAACAGAGUUGUAUGCUACCAGUUAAACCAAACACAGAUCUUACUGCCCCUGCAUGUGCGCGCCUCUGCCUAUCAGCCCCUUGAGAAGUCAUUGAUCCACAAGGACCCUUCACUCUCACGACCGACAGACGAUUCGGCAACAACAAGGACUUCUGCUCCUCCCUGACAGCAUGACCACUUGCGUUUCCGUCAAGAAGAAGCACAAACCCGGGAGCCGUCAACCUUACAGAGCAAGAUCAAAUGAAACAUGAUGACAAAAUGGGAAAAAGUUUUUCUCAUUUUUUCUUUUUUUCCAGUUUACAUUAAAUACGCACCUUUCCAUG
Molecule: long non-coding RNA, 350 nt
Organism: Xiphophorus couchianus (Monterrey platyfish)
Lineage: Eukaryota; Metazoa; Chordata; Actinopteri; Cyprinodontiformes; Poeciliidae
Exons: 2
Source: RefSeq, a predicted model, not a curated record